This 88-nucleotide non-coding RNA is filed under the name Otolemur garnettii (small-eared galago). Lineage: Eukaryota; Metazoa; Chordata; Mammalia; Primates; Galagidae. The record is from RNAcentral.
GGCAGGUCUGAGUGCAAUGGUAUUUAUAACUAAUUGAUCACAACCAGUAUUCCUUCUCUAUUCCCACUACUUCACUUGACUAACAAAA